GCGGGUAUCGUAUAACGGCUAUUAUGUGUGCUUCCCAAGCAUAAGACCGGGGUCCGACUCCCCGUACCCGCACCA
RNAcentral lists this transfer RNA (75 nucleotides) under Candidatus Nomurabacteria bacterium. Its description in RNAcentral is "tRNA-Gly". It matches the Rfam family "tRNA". Rfam says of the family: Transfer RNA (tRNA) molecules are approximately 80 nucleotides in length. Their secondary structure includes four short double-helical elements and three loops (D, anti-codon, and T loops). Lineage: Bacteria; Candidatus Nomuraibacteriota. The record is from RNAcentral.